Molecule: ribosomal RNA, 1481 nt
Filed under: uncultured bacterium
Lineage: Bacteria
Description: 16S ribosomal RNA
Rfam family: Bacterial small subunit ribosomal RNA
Source: RNAcentral
AGAGUUUGAUCCUGGCUCAGAUUGAACGCUGGCGGCAUGCUUUACACAUGCAAGUCGGACGGCAGCGGGGUAGUGCUUGCACUACUGCCGGCGAGUGGCGAACGGGUGAGUAACAUAUCGGAACGUACCGAGCAGUGGGGGAUAACUAAUCGAAAGAUUAGCUAAUACCGCAUAUAUUCUGAGGAAGAAAGCAGGGGACCUUUGGGCCUUGCGUUAUUCGAGCGGCCAAUAUCUGAUUAGCUAGUUGGUGGGGUAAAGGCCUACCAAGGCGACGAUCAGUAGCGGGUCUGAGAGGAUGAUCCGCCACACUGGGACUGAGACACGGCCCGGACUCCUACGGGAGGCAGCAGUGGGGAAUCUUCCGCAAUGGGCGAAAGCCUGACGGAGCAACGCCGCGUGAGUGAUGACGGCCUUCGGGUUGUAAAACUCUGUGAUCCGGGACGAAAAGGCAGAGUGCGAAGAACAAACAGCAUUGACGGUACCGGAAAAGCAAGCCACGGCUAACUACGUGCCAGCAGCCGCGGUAAUACGUAGGUGGCAAGCGUUGUCCGGAAUUAUUGGGCGUAAAGCGCGCGCAGGCGGCUUCCCAAGUCCCUCUUAAAAGUGCGGGGCUUAACCCCGUGAUGGGAAGGAUACUGGGGAAGCUGGAGUAUCGGAGAGGAAAGUGGAAUUCCUAGUGUAGCAGUGAAAUGCGUAGAUACUAGGAAGAACACCGAUGGCGUAAGGCAGGCGACUGGGAUAUUUCUGACGCUAAGGCACGAAAGCGUGGGUAGCGAACCCGGAUUAGAUACCCGGGUAGUCCACGCCGGUAAACGAUGGAUGCUAAUUGUUUGAGGUAUCGACCCCUUCGAGUUAUAAGCUUACGCGUUAUGCAUCCCGCCUGUGAGUACCGGCCGCAAGGCUUAAAACCUAAGGAAUUGACGGGGACCCGCACAAGCGGUGGAGGAUGUUCUUUAAUUCGAAGUUAAGCGAAGAACCUUACCAGGGCUUGACAUCCCUAGAACUUUUUCGAAAGAAAAAGGUGCCUUCGGGAGCUAGGUGACAGAUCCUGCAUGGCCGUCGUCAGCUCGUGUCGUGAGAUGUUUGGUUAAGUCCAUCAACGAGCGCAACCCUUGUCGUCAGUUGUAUUUUUCUGGCGAGACUGCCCCGGUAACGGGGAGGAAGGAGGGGAUGAUGUCUGGUCAGUAUUGGUCUUACGCCCUGGGCUAGAAACGUCCUACAAUGGUCGGUACAAUGGGCAGCCAACCCGUGAGGGGGAGCAAAUCCCAUCAAAGCCGGUCUCAGUUCGGAUUGCAGGCUGAAACUCGCCUGCAUGAAGUCGGAAUCGCUAGUAAUCGCAGAUCAGCACGUUGCGGUGAAUACGUUCCCGGGUCUUGUACAUACCGCCCGUCAAACCAUGAAAGUCAGGAGCACCCGACGUCCGGAUUUAUUUCGGCCUAAGGUGAGCUUGGUGAUUGGGGUUAAGUCGUAACAAGGUAACC